CACUCCAAAGCAGCCUCGGCUGCACUGCUCCUCCGAAUGGGUGUAAGUGGGGAGGAGCUCGCCCUAAUCCAGGAACCCUGGAUUCACCAAGAAAGGGUGAGUGGACUAGGCAUGAAAAGCUUUAAGCUAUUGUACGCAAAAGGAUCUGUGAUGAAGACACCGUAGCAGCCAUAUGGGAGACCAGUGUAGGUGCUAUAUUGGUUAUCUCGGCGUACAUGGCUCACGACCACAGCGACCAGCCACCGAACAACCUGGUCUGCAGAUCCAUAGAGAUGGCAAACUCGAAAAGCAUGCCGAUCAUCAUGGGGGCUGAUGCCAAUGCCCAUCACACUGUUUGGGGAAGCUCGGACAUAAACGCUAGAGGUAUCACAAAGGGAUCAAAAUUCUGGACCCAAGUGUGUCCCCAGUGAUGACAUCGCGAGGACGACCUGCCUACCUAACCUAUCC
Molecule: long non-coding RNA, 447 nt
Organism: Lucilia sericata (common green bottle fly)
Lineage: Eukaryota; Metazoa; Arthropoda; Insecta; Diptera; Calliphoridae
Exons: 3
Source: RefSeq, a predicted model, not a curated record